UUUUAAUGUAGAUUUGUUAAAUGGUGGAAGAACAAGAAUAAUGAUUGAAGACUCUUUUGAUGCAAUUUCUUUAUUAUGCUGUUAAAUUUGUAGGACGGGUAGAGGCGGGGCAGGUACCGUGGGGACGGGUUAGGGUAGAGCAGCCUACUACCCGCAGGUAGGGGUAGGGCGGGUAGUAGUGGAGUGCAAGGACGGCGGGGCGGGGUCGGGUAGGGCAAAAACCCGCCCCUACCCGCCCCACUGCCACAGAGGUAGAGAGGGAAGAAGAAGAA
Non-coding RNA from Arachis ipaensis, 272 nucleotides. Lineage: Eukaryota; Viridiplantae; Streptophyta; Magnoliopsida; Fabales; Fabaceae. The record is from RefSeq and is a predicted model, not a curated record.